ACCCUUCUACGGUGUGACGUUAAUAAGAAGCGACGGUGAGCAGGCCGACGACAUCAAUACAACAAAAAUAGGACGGGGGAGGAAAUAAGGUUUUGUUGUUUUUGGUUAAAUAAAUCCGGUUGAUUCAACGCAAUGCCGAAAGUGAAAAGGAGCAGGAAACCACCGCCGGAUGGCUGGGAGUUGAUUGAACCGACAUUGGACGAAUUAGACCAAAAAAUGAGAGAAGCCGAGACGGAGCCUCACGAGGGAAAGAGGAAGGUGGAGUCCCUGUGGCCGAUAUUCAGACUGCAUCAUCAGAGGAGCAGAUAUAUCUUCGACUUGUUCUACAAGAGGAAGGCCAUCAGCAGAGGUAGAUGUUAUAGAAGAGGAAGGCCGUCAGCAGAGGUAGAUGUUAUAGAAGAGGAAGGCCGUCAGCAGAGGUAGAUGUUAUAGAAGAGGAAGGCCGUCAGCAGAGGUAGAUGUUAUAGAAGAGGAAGGCCGUCAGCAGAGGUAGAUGUUAUAUAAGAGGAAGGCCGUCAGCAGAGGUAGAUGUUAUAUAAGAGGAAGGCCGUCAGCAGAGGUAGAUGUUAUAGAAGAGGAAGGCCGUCAGCAGAGGUAGAUGUUAUAUAAGAGGAAGGCCGUCAGCAGAGGUAGAUGUUAUAGAAGAGGAAGGCCGUCAGCAGAGGUAGAUGUUAUAGAAGAGGAAGGCCGUCAGCAGAGGUAGAUGUUAUAUAAGAGGAAGGCCGUCAGCAGAGGUAGAUGUUAUAUAAGAGGAAGGCAGUCAGCAGAGGUAGAUGUUAUAGAAGAGGAAGGCAGUCAGCAGAGGUAGAUGUUAUAUAAGAGGAAGGCCGUCAGCAGAGGUAGAUGUUAUAGAAGAGGAAGGCCGUCAGCAGAGGUAGAUGUUAUAGAAGAGGAAGGCCGUCAGCAGAGGUAGAUGUUAUAGAAGAGGAAGGCCGUCAGCAGAGGUAGAUGUUAUAGAAGAGGAAGGCCGUCAGCAGAGGUAGAUGUUAUAUAAGAGGAAGGCCGUCAGCAGAGGUAGAUGUUAUAGAAGAGGAAGGCCGUCAGCAGAGGUAGAUGUUAUAGAAGAGGAAGGCCGUCAGCAGAGGUAGAUGU
Oncorhynchus keta (chum salmon) is the source of this 1092-nucleotide long non-coding RNA. RefSeq lists it as uncharacterized. The record is from RefSeq and is a predicted model, not a curated record. Lineage: Eukaryota; Metazoa; Chordata; Actinopteri; Salmoniformes; Salmonidae. The transcript has 6 exons.